UUCAUAGUUGAAAUUGUACUUUUAGAAAAACAAAAAGUAAGCCUGAAACUUAGAUUUUGAAGAAGAAAUAUCUUUAAGAAUUUUAGAAGCUUUUAUGUUAGCAAUUUUACCUGGUAAAACUAAGAUCUAUUAGAUUAAUUUGAGAUAAGACCUCUAAGUCCUGAACAAAGGCAGAUUCAAUUUAUUUUUUGUUUUGAGGUCUUUUUACAAAAGGUCCUUUUCUAGGAAAAAAUUGCGUAUCUACAGUAAACAUCUCAUCAAGAUGAUGAUCUUUUGUUUAAAUCAAAGAACUGGAAAUUAGUGUUUCUUUCAGAUUUACUCUGUAGUAUGAAAAAUUG
RNAcentral lists this long non-coding RNA (338 nucleotides) under Bos taurus (domestic cattle). RNAcentral describes it as "long non-coding RNA NONBTAT019252". The record is from RNAcentral. Lineage: Eukaryota; Metazoa; Chordata; Mammalia; Artiodactyla; Bovidae.